RNAcentral lists this ribosomal RNA (253 nucleotides) under uncultured bacterium. RNAcentral describes it as "partial 16S ribosomal RNA". It matches the Rfam family "Bacterial small subunit ribosomal RNA", at positions 524 to 776 of the family's 1533-position model. The record is from RNAcentral.
UACGUAGGGUCCGAGCGUUGUCCGGAAUUAUUGGGCGUAAAGAGCUCGUAGGCGGUUUGUCGCGUCUGCUGUGAAAACUGGAGGCUCAACCUCCAGCCUGCAGUGGGUACGGGCAGACUAGAGUGCGGUAGGGGAGAUUGGAAUUCCUGGUGUAGCGGUGGAAUGCGCAGAUAUCAGGAGGAACACCGAUGGCGAAGGCAGAUCUCUGGGCCGUAACUGACGCUGAGGAGCGAAAGCAUGGGGAGCGAACAGG